Long non-coding RNA from Octodon degus (degu), 434 nucleotides. RefSeq lists it as uncharacterized. The transcript is spliced from 3 exons. Lineage: Eukaryota; Metazoa; Chordata; Mammalia; Rodentia; Octodontidae. The record is from RefSeq and is a predicted model, not a curated record.
GAAAGUGACUAAGACAGCAUUGGAUUGAUGCCAUAAUGUGUCCAUAGUCAUACUGAUCUGAAACUCGGGAAGGUUAUGACCAAGGAGACGUGCACAGGUGCCGUUAGGACAAGGCCUGGAGCUGCUUUCAUCCUGGAGCAAAGCAAGACGCUCGAGGGAGUACAGCCCAGGAAAGCGCCUAAGCCGGCUCUCAGGUGUCAGAGUGCACUGGGGACUUCAUACCAGGGAAGGAAAAUCGGGGCCCAGAGCCAAGGAGAUAAGGGGGAUGUGCUGGCCCAGACUGAAUCCAUCUUGUCAGAAACCUGAAAAACGAGAAGACUUGUUUGACUUGAGCCCUGGCUAAGAACCAAUAUGCUGCAGAAGCACCAGAAAGUGCCUGAAGGGAGUGGAGAAGUGUUUGGUUUGGGGGUGUUAAUGCCAGUCCACCCAAAGUA